This 388-nucleotide ribosomal RNA is filed under the name uncultured bacterium. RNAcentral's name for it is "partial 16S ribosomal RNA". It matches the Rfam family "Bacterial small subunit ribosomal RNA", at positions 523 to 918 of the family's 1533-position model. The record is from RNAcentral.
AUACGUAGGUGGCAAGCGUUAUCCGGAUUUAUUGGGCGUAAAGGGUGCGCAGGCGGUCUGUUUAGUCUGAGGUGAAAGCGUUGAGCUUAACUCAAUUAAGCCUCGGAUACUGGCAGACUAGAGUGCAGAAGAGGGUUAUGGAAUUCCAUGUGUAGCGGUAAAAUGCGUAGAUAUAUGGAGGAACACCGGCGGCGAAGGCGGUAACCUGGUCUGUUACUGACGCUCAGGCACGAAAGCGUGGGGAGCAAAUAGGAUUAGAUACCCUAGUAGUCCACGCCCUAAACGAUGAUUACUAAAUGUUGGGGAAGCUCAGUGUUGUAGCUAACGCAAUAAGUAAUCCGCCUGGGGAGUAUGCACGCAAGUGUGAAACUCAAAGGAAUUGACGGGG